CUCCGGUUGAUCCUGCCGGACCCGACUGCUAUCAGAGUGGGACUAAGCCAUGCGAGUCAACAUAGCAAUAUGUGGCAUACGGCUCAGUAACACGUAGUCAACAUGCCCAGGGGACGUGGAUAACCUCGGGAAACUGAGGAUAAACCGCGAUAAGUCACUACUUCUGGAAUGGGUAAUGACUCAAAUCUACAUGGCCCCUGGAUUGGACUGCGGCCGAUCAGGCUGUUGGUGAGGUAAUGGCCCACCAAACCUGUAACCGGUACGGGCUCUGAGAGGAGGAGCCCGGAGAUGGGCACUGAGACAAGGGCCCAGGCCCUAUGGGGCGCAGCAGGCGCGAAACCUCUGCAAUAGGCGAAAGCUUGACAGGGUUACUCUGAGUGAUUUCCGUUAAGGAGAUCUUUUGGCACCUCUAAAAAUGGUGCAGAAUAAGGGGUGGGCAAGUCUGGUGUCAGCCGCCGCGGUAAUACCAGCACCCCGAGUGGUCGGGACGUUUAUUGGGCCUAAAGCAUCCGUAGCCGGUUCUACAAGUCUUCCGUUAAAUCCACCUGCUUAACAGAUGGGCUGCGGAAGAUACUAUAGAGCUAGGAGGCGGGAGAGGCAAGCGGUACUCGAUGGGUAGGGGUAAAAUCCGUUGAUCCAUUGAAGACCACCAGUGGCGAAGGCGGCUUGCCAGAACGCGCUCGACGGUGAGGGAUGAAAGCUGGGGGAGCAAACCGGAUUAGAUACCCGGGUAGUCCCAGCUGUAAACGAUGCAGACUCGGUGAUGAGUUGGCUUAUUGCUAACUCAGUGCCGCAGGGAAGCCGUUAAGUUUGCCGCCUGGGGAGUACGGUCGCAAGACUGAAACUUAAAGGAAUUGGCGGGGGAGCA
RNAcentral lists this ribosomal RNA (868 nucleotides) under uncultured archaeon. Its description in RNAcentral is "bacterial SSU rRNA". It matches the Rfam family "Archaeal small subunit ribosomal RNA", at positions 1 to 878 of the family's 1478-position model. The record is from RNAcentral.